Molecule: ribosomal RNA, 738 nt
Filed under: uncultured bacterium
Lineage: Bacteria
Description: bacterial SSU rRNA
Rfam family: Bacterial small subunit ribosomal RNA
Source: RNAcentral
GAGUUUGAUCCUGGCUCAGAACGAACGCUGGCGGCGUGCUUAACACAUGCAAGUCAGGGAGAAAGUCUCUUCGGGGAUGAUUAAACCGGCGCACGGGUGAGUAACACGUGAGUGACCUGCCUUUUAGACUGGAACAACUUACCGAAAGGUGAGCUAAUGCCGGAUGAGUUAUAUAAGUGCAUGUUUAUAUAGGAAAAGUUGGGGAGACCUGACGCUGAAAGAUGGACUCGCGUCCCAUUAGCUAGUUGGUAGGGUAAUGGCCUACCAAGGCGACGAUGGGUAGCCGGCCUGAGAGGGUGGCCGGCCACACUGGGACUGAGACACGGCCCAGACUCCUACGGGAGGCAGCAGUGGGGAAUUUUGCGCAAUGCUCGUAAGAGUGACGCAGCGACGCCGCGUGAAUGACGAAGGCCUUCGGGUCGUAAAGUUCUUUCGACAGGGAAGAAAAUGCCUAUAAGUAACUGUGUAUGUAUCGACGGUACCUGUAUAAGCAGCCCCGGCUAACUCCGUGCCAGCAGCCGCGGUAAUACGGAGGGGGCGAGCGUUGUUCGGAGUGACUGGGCGUAAAGAGCACGUAGGCGGUGUUGUAAGUCAUUAGUCAAAGACUAGAGCUCAACUUUAGUAAGGCUAGUGAUACUAUAAUACUAGAGUAUCAGAGAGGAUUGCAGAAUUCCUGGUGUAGCGGUGAAAUGCGUAGAUAUCAGGAGGAAUACCGUUAGCGAAGGCGGCAAUCUGGCU